RNAcentral lists this microRNA precursor (77 nucleotides) under Dasypus novemcinctus (nine-banded armadillo). RNAcentral describes it as "microRNA 33a (ENSDNOG00000042354.1)". The stretch from base 2 to 70 matches the Rfam family "mir-33 microRNA precursor family". Lineage: Eukaryota; Metazoa; Chordata; Mammalia; Cingulata; Dasypodidae. The record is from RNAcentral.
GCUGGGGUGCAUUGUAGUUGCAUUGCAUGUUCUGGCAGUACCCGUGCAAUGUGUCCACAGUGCAUCCCAGAGGCCUG